GAUGAAGAACGUAGCGAAAUGCGAUAAGUAGUGUGAAUUGCAGAAUUCAGUGAAUCAUCGAAUCUUUGAACGCACAUUGCGCCCCUUGGUAUUCCAUGGGGCAUGCCUGUUCGAGCGUCAUUUGUACCUUCAAGCUCUGCUUGGUGUUGGGUGUUUUGUCUCGCCUCUGCGUGUAGACUCGCCUUAAAACAAUUGGCAGCCGGCGUAUUGAUUUCGGAGCGCAGUACAUCUCGCGCUUUGCACUCAUAACGGCGACGUCCAAAAGUACAUUUUUACACUCUUGACCUCGGAUCAGGUAGGGAUACCCGCUGAACUUAAGCAUAUCAAUAGCGGAGGA
RNAcentral lists this unclassified non-coding RNA (337 nucleotides) under soil metagenome. Its description in RNAcentral is "partial contains 5.8S ribosomal RNA, internal transcribed spacer 2, and large subunit ribosomal RNA". The stretch from base 1 to 120 matches the Rfam family "5.8S ribosomal RNA", at positions 35 to 154 of the family's 154-position model. The record is from RNAcentral.